This is a long non-coding RNA of Mugil cephalus (flathead mullet), 3271 nucleotides long. RefSeq lists it as uncharacterized. The record is from RefSeq and is a predicted model, not a curated record. Lineage: Eukaryota; Metazoa; Chordata; Actinopteri; Mugiliformes; Mugilidae. The transcript is spliced from 5 exons.
GCCAUGGAUGCAGCAUGUGAUGACAUCACAGCAGAGUGCUGCAGAGGGAUUCACCACUCGAGGAGAAACUUUCCUCGCUGCGUUGCAAGAGAUGAUAUUGGUUGUGAUGUAGAUGAAACUAUGUGGCCAGACAGAGAGGAACGACUGGAUGUGCAUGAAUGAUUUACAGUUCUGUGUAUGUUGUACGUUCAGUUUCUAAUAUGUACUGCAUAUCUUUCUAUAUAUGAAAGAACAUAUGCAGUAAAAAUGUGAAACACACCCAUUCAGUUACCUCACUAAAUACAGUCAUGUGUAACUUUACUGCAGUUUUCAAAUGGCUGUGUAAAUAGUGUAUAGUGCUGUCUUGACUAUUUUCAGGUAGUGUUACUAAGAGCUGACUUUUUUGCAUUGGAAAACACACAGAGAGUAAACUGUCAUAAUGUAAACAAAUGACGAAGCCAUUCGACUGUCUUGUUCAUAAAUGACUGACUGUUUCACCAUUGCUGAAAACUAACCUGGGCUAACUUUUUUAAACUUGCAGGUGGCGCAAAAUGUGAUAAAUUAGAGAAAACUUCUGGCAGUGAUGCAGAGCUUCCAUACCCUCUUAUCUGCAACAGUUCAUGGUAUCUGGAGAUAAAUUCAGCUGACUGUGGCUACUGUCGCGGAGGAAAUUUUAACAAUGAUUGCACUAAAACACAAAUGAGUUUCAGCAAUGGAUUAAUCAAGAUUCUGAAUCUGACAACAUCAUCUAACGGGCUGUAUAAGUUAUGUAAACGGAAUAGUCCGUGUUUCAAAUGUUGGCGGCUUGUUGUCAAUCCAAAAGAAACCAAGAACCAGACCCAAGACCGCCAAACUCCACUCGACUCAUCAAAUAACAGUUCUAUGACUGGUGGGAUAAUAGGUGUUGUUGUUGCUGUUCUUCUUGUCAUCGUCCCCAUAUUGAUUUGGAAAUGGUAAAAAGAUCAACAGCCACAGCAAAACCCACAACAACCAAAUGGUGCUGAGGAACAUGAGCUGGAGCCUCUCAAUGAGUCUGAACAACACUAGGAAGAUGAAAGUGCCAGCUGAAAAAAGAUGACUCUCUUUUUUUUGUCUUUCUUAAUUUGGUCAGGAAUCUCUUUCAUUAUAUUUGUGCAGCUUUAGACAUAACAGAGAAGUUGUUUGUGUGUGUUUUUUAAACAAUGUUCAUAUCUCAGGCUUGGAAGCUGUGAACCAUCUGCUGUGUGGCCAGUUUACGCUUAAACACUAAUUCACCGAUUAUUCUCCUAAAAAGAUAUGCUAUGCUAUUCAAAUGUGUGGGCGGGGUUCACAUGAUCCGUGCACAUGAAGUAGAAUUAGUUUACUAAUUACUAAUUCAUUGAUAACUAAAUGGCAGUUAUUGAUGGACUUUAAACAUCAUGCAAUGUGUUUUUUGUUCUCUGUAGGUGUUGAAUACCACAUAAUGAAGUGUUGCUAUACCAGGUUAAUCAGUUUAGUUCCUUUACAAAAUGUGAAGUACAGUCGUACUGGCAAAGGGAGACAGCUUUGGUAGAAUAUUUGCAGUUUGAUAGGAAGUACCUGAGAUGGAAAGUUUUCAUCCAGCAGAUAAACAUCAGCUUUUCUUUUGCAUAAAUGACUCAUAUUCUCAGCAAUCUGCAUCAAUGACAGCUUUCCACUAGGUCCUUGUUUUGGCUUUUGUUUUUCCACAAUGUGAAGGAACUAAACAGUCAGGGUUAGUGUUAGGAGUCUCUAAUUUGAGCAAAAACCAAAUAAGAUUUAGGAUUGGGGGUGUGAAAGUAUGUAAUUGAUGGCUCACCCAGGUAAUUCAUGCAUCAGUUCAUGUCACUCUUAAAUUUCAUGACCUGGUGUGUCUGGUUAAAAAUCAGGGGAAUUAGUUUGGUUACUCAAGAUUGAGAAACUACGAGUAGUGGACCUCAUCAUCAGUAGUAGUGAUUCCCAUGAUUACUGCACUUUUAAUUUGUUAUUACUAGAGGGUCUUCAGGGUCAUCCCCAAACUACAGGCAAGGAAAAGAUGGCGAAUAAGAGCUUAGGUUUAGGACUGGUUGGAAUGAAAGCUGAAAUAAACUGGUUGUUGCUGCUGCCUUUUAAAGUUUACACUGAGCCACGGUUUGGAGGGGAGACCCUCAGAGAAGGAUGUUUUAGAUUUACACUCAUGAAUCAUUUAAGCUUCUUACUGUAACUCCUCUUGAUUGUAAUUACCACUAGUCCAUUGAGCCAACAUGUUUGAACAAGCUCAGGAUGUGAUGUAGCUCCAGGUUGUUUCUGGCAUCAUUUCAGGCUGAACUGGUUUUACAACAGAUCUUGAUUAUAUCUUGAUACUACGAAUCUCUAAAGUCUAAAUAACCCAGCUCUAUUCUGAAGUCUUUGUUAUGGCAGUGAUAUGUAACCACUUUCAGUAAUCGUCCCAUUGUGACUGAACCAAAGCUCUGUAAAAACAGAUAUGUAGGAGAUAAACAUGAACUUUUGAAUUUCUUGGUACUGUAUCAGCAUUUUUUAAUGAUUUAAUGAUGAUUUUUAAAUCAAUGCCAACAAUCCAGUGUCUCCUGCUGUGGUGCUGCUGGCUAAAAGGAAUAAUAGUGGAAAUCAUUAACACACAGCUGCUGUUACAAGUGAAACUAUCUGAGAAACAAACAGUCGAUACUCUAAUAGGAUGAUUACAUGGAUGAGUGUGUGUGCAGGAGUUUGUUUGAGCUGGCAAACUGGAAACAAUGAAUCAUGGCCGUGUGUUGUGUUGUUGUGUGACCAGACCUGUGAAAACUGAUUGAACUUUACACAUCUACUGUACUUGUUUAUGUGACUCUGCAAUGGGAGACAGGUUUUAACUCAAGGUGCAGCUGAGGAGAUUGUUUCUAUUACUGUUCACAGAUAUCCAGGUUUACCUUUUAUGUGUUUUUUAUGUGUGUUGCUAUUUUACUGAUUUAUGUGCAUGUGUUAUUAACUGAUUUUAUCAGUUUGUCAAGUCCAUUAAUAAUGAACAGAGGAUGAAAUGUAAUUUGAAGGUGUCAUUACAUGUUGUUGUCAGAAUAAUAACACAAUUGAAUAAAUUGUGAGUGAAACUCUGGAUCUCUCUUUAACUGAGACCAGAGCAAAGGUCAGACAUGACCAGCAUGAAUUUCGUCUCUGUUAUAAUGAAACACUCCUCCCUGUUCUGUUCUGGUUUCAAUCAUAUCCAGGACCUGAUAUGUGAGAACAUGAUUAUUAACUCAGUUAUUGUUUAUCAACGCAGAAAUUAUUAGAAGUUUACAAUUUAUCAUUGAGUCAGAAACAAAUAAAACCAAAAACUUACAAAACA